UUAAGCGACUAAGCGUACACGGUGGAUGCCCUGGCAGUCAGAGGCGAUGAAGGACGUGCUAAUCUGCGAAAAGCGUCGGUAAGGUGAUAUGAACCGUUAUAACCGGCGAUGUCCGAAUGGGGAAACCCAGUGCAAUUCGUUGCACUAUCGUUAACUGAAUACAUAGGUUAACGAGGCGAACCGGGGGAACUGAAACAUCUAAGUACCCCGAGGAAAAGAAAUCAACCGAGAUUCCCCCAGUAGCGGCGAGCGAACGGGGAGCAGCCCAGAGUCUGAAUCAGCUUGUGUGUUAGUGGAACGGUCUGGAAAGUCCGACGGUACAGGGUGAUAGUCCCGUACACCAAAAUGCACAGGUUGUGAACUCGAAGAGUAGGGCGGGACACGUGGUAUCCUGUCUGAAUAUGGGGGGACCAUCCUCCAAGGCUAAAUACUCCUGACUGACCGAUAGUGAACCAGUACCGUGAGGGAAAGGCGAAAAGAACCCCGGCGAGGGGAGUGAAAAAGAACCUGAAACCGUGUACGUACAAGCAGUGGGAGCACCUUCGGGUGUGACUGCGUACCUUUUGUAUAAUGGGUCAGCGACUUAUAUUCUGUAGCAAGGUUAACCGUAUAGGGGAGCCGCAGGGAAACCGAGUCUUAACUGGGCGUUAAGUUGCAGGGUAUAGACCCGAAACCCGGUGAUCUAGCCAUGGGCAGGUUGAAGGUUGGGUAACACUAACUGGAGGACCGAACCGACUAAUGUUGAAAAAUUAGCGGAUGACUUGUGGCUGGGGGUGAAAGGCCAAUCAAACCGGGAGAUAGCUGGUUCUCCCCGAAAGCUAUUUAGGUAGCGCCUCGUGAACUCAUCUUCGGGGGUAGAGCACUGUUUCGGCUAGGGGGUCAUCCCGACUUACCAACCCGAUGCAAACUACGAAUACCGAAGAAUGUUAUCACGGGAGACACACGGCGGGUGCUAACGUCCGUCGUGAAGAGGGAAACAACCCAGACCGCCAGCUAAGGUCCCAAAGUCAUGGUUAAGUGGGAAACGAUGUGGGAAGGCACAGACAGCCAGGAUGUUGGCUUAGAAGCAGCCAUCAUUUAAAGAAAGCGUAAUAGCUCACUGGUCGAGUCGGCCUGCGCGGAAGAUGUAACGGGGCUAAACCAUGCACCGAAGCUGCGGCAGCGACACUAUGUGUUGUUGGGUAGGGGAGCGUUCUGUAAGCCUGCGAAGGUGUGCUGUGAGGCAUGCUGGAGGUAUCAGAAGUGCGAAUGCUGACAUAAGUAACGAUAAAGCGGGUGAAAAGCCCGCUCGCCGGAAGACCAAGGGUUCCUGUCCAACGUUAAUCGGGGCAGGGUGAGUCGACCCCUAAGGCGAGGCCGAAAGGCGUAGUCGAUGGGAAACAGGUUAAUAUUCCUGUACUUGGUGUUACUGCGAAGGGGGGACGGAGAAGGCUAUGUUAGCCGGGCGACGGUUGUCCCGGUUUAAGCAUGUAGGCUGGUUAUCCAGGCAAAUCCGGAUAAUCAAGGCUGAGGUGUGAUGACGAGGCACUACGGUGCUGAAGUAACAAAUGCCCUGCUUCCAGGAAAAGCCUCUAAGCAUCAGGUAACAUCAAAUCGUACCCCAAACCGACACAGGUGGUCAGGUAGAGAAUACCAAGGCGCUUGAGAGAACUCGGGUGAAGGAACUAGGCAAAAUGGUGCCGUAACUUCGGGAGAAGGCACGCUGGUGUGUAGGUGAAGUCCCUGCGGAUGGAGCUGAGACCAGUCGAAGAUACCAGCUGGCUGCAACUGUUUAUUAAAAACACAGCACUGUGCAAACACGAAAGUGGACGUAUACGGUGUGACGCCUGCCCGGUGCCGGAAGGUUAAUUGAUGGGGUUAUCCGUAAGGAGAAGCUCUUGAUCGAAGCCCCGGUAAACGGCGGCCGUAACUAUAACGGUCCUAAGGUAGCGAAAUUCCUUGUCGGGUAAGUUCCGACCUGCACGAAUGGCGUAAUGAUGGCGGCUGUCUCCACCCGAGACUCAGUGAAAUUGAACUCGCUGUGAAGAUGCAGUGUACCCGCGGCAAGACGGAAAGACCCCGUGAACCUUUACUAUAGCUUGACACUGAACAUUGAGCCUUGAUGUGUAGGAUAGGUGGGAGGCUUUGAAGCGUGGACGCCAGUCUGCGUGGAGCCAACCUUGAAAUACCACCCUUUAAUGUUUGAUGUUCUAACGUUGGCCCCUUACCGGGGUUGCGGACAGUGUCUGGUGGGUAGUUUGACUGGGGCGGUCUCCUCCCAAAGCGUAACGGAGGAGCACGAAGGUUAGCUAAUCUGGUCGGACAUCAGGAGGUUAGUGCAAUGGCAUAAGCUAGCUUGACUGCGAGCGUGACGGCGCGAGCAGGUGCGAAAGCAGGUCAUAGUGAUCCGGUGGUUCUGAAUGGAAGGGCCAUCGCUCAACGGAUAAAAGGUACUCCGGGGAUAACAGGCUGAUACCGCCCAAGAGUUCAUAUCGACGGCGGUGUUUGGCACCUCGAUGUCGGCUCAUCACAUCCCGGGCUGAAGUAGGUCCCAAGGGUAUGGCUGUUCGCCAUUUAAAGUGGUACGCGAGCUGGGUUUAGAACGUCGUGAGACAGUUCGGUCCCUAUCUGCCGUGGGCGCUGGAGAAUUGAGGGGGGCUGCUCCUAGUACGAGAGGACCGGAGUGGACGCAUCACUGGUGUUCGGGUUGUCAUGCCAAUGGCACUGCCCGGUAGCUAAAUGCGGAAGAGAUAAGUGCUGAAAGCAUCUAAGCACGAAACUUGCCCCGAGAUGAGUUCUCCCUGAGACUUUAAGUCUCCUGAAGGAACGUUAAAGACGAUGACGUUGAUAGGCCGGGUGUGUAAGCGCAGCGAUGCGUUGAGCUAACCGGUACUAAUGAACCGUGAGGCUUAACCU
RNAcentral lists this ribosomal RNA (2895 nucleotides) under Klebsiella pneumoniae. RNAcentral's name for it is "23S ribosomal RNA". It matches the Rfam family "Bacterial large subunit ribosomal RNA". Lineage: Bacteria; Pseudomonadati; Pseudomonadota; Gammaproteobacteria; Enterobacterales; Enterobacteriaceae. The record is from RNAcentral.